AUUGAACGCUGGCGGAAUGCUUUACACAUGCAAGUCGAGCGGCAGCGCGGGGCAACCUGGCGGCGAGCGGCGAACGGGUGAGUAACAUAUCGGAACGUACCCUGUCGUGGGGGAUAACACAGCGAAAGUUGUGCUAAUACCGCAUACGACCUGAGGGUGAAAGCGGGGGAUCGCAAGACCUCGCGCGAUAGGAGCGGCCGAUAUCGGAUUAGCUAGUUGGUGAGGUAAAGGCUCACCAAGGCGACGAUCCGUAGCGGGUCGGAGAGGACGACCCGCCACACUGGAACGGAGACACGGUCCAGACUACUACGGGAGGCAGCAGUGGGGAAUUUUGGACAAUGGGGGCAACCCUGAUCCAGCCAUUCCGCGUGAGUGAAGAAGGCCUUCGGGUUGUAAAGCUCUUUCGGCAGGAACGAAACGGUCGUCUCUAACAUAGAUGGCCAAUGACGGUACCUGAAGAAGAAGCACCGGCUAACUACGUGCCAGCCGCCGCAGUAA
This 498-nucleotide ribosomal RNA is filed under the name uncultured bacterium. RNAcentral's name for it is "partial 16S ribosomal RNA". It matches the Rfam family "Bacterial small subunit ribosomal RNA", at positions 29 to 523 of the family's 1533-position model. The record is from RNAcentral.